RNAcentral lists this transfer RNA (76 nucleotides) under Clostridiaceae bacterium. RNAcentral's name for it is "tRNA-Lys". It matches the Rfam family "tRNA". Rfam says of the family: Transfer RNA (tRNA) molecules are approximately 80 nucleotides in length. Their secondary structure includes four short double-helical elements and three loops (D, anti-codon, and T loops). The record is from RNAcentral. Lineage: Bacteria; Bacillati; Bacillota; Clostridia; Eubacteriales; Clostridiaceae. RNAcentral also lists the same sequence under 4 other names.
GCACCAUUAGCUCAGUUGGUAGAGCAACUGACUCUUAAUCAGUGGGCCCUGGGUUCGAGUCCCCGAUGGUGCACCA